CUCCAAAGCACCUGUGGCUUUCUCAUACCAAUUAGCAACGCCACGCACAGCUGAUCGUUCAUUUAUGAAGGCUGUGAUAAAUAUUUACACAUGGUACCAAGAGCGUGCGUCUUACCUUGAACCAGGUGUUGUUCUACUUCUUGGCUGUGUCCGUGGUUCAUGCUCCGCGGGCUGUAGCUCAGCUAACAGGUACGUGAAGUACAGGAGAAAGACUAGCUAGCACUAGCUAGCAACAAUAUUAGCCCGCCAAUUAUAAUAACUGCCUCCGACUCUUGUUCAUAAACCAAUUGUUAAAAUUACCCACUUCUUCUAUUUGUUCCCUCUAAGAAGUAGCCGUAUCGUAUAGUUUUGUUUUGUUUUUCUUAAUUUUACCUGUUAGCAAAAAUGCUGACAUCAGCAUUUCGGUUUGGCCGCCAAAGGAAAUCUGUAUCAUCACGCAGAACGGACGGAGCGGCGGAGGAGGAGAGGAACGGGGAGAGGAAGCUGUGGGAGAACGGACGCGGCUCUGCGAGAGGAGGCUUUUGUGGAGAGAGGGGUGUAAUAUCUGGUCAUCUGGCGUCCACGGAGCGACAGAAAGGAAGGAGAGAAGGGAAAAAAUGGAGAGAGUGACAGAAAAUACAAACUUGGUGGGAAGAGUUAGGUGAAAAUGAGAUAUAGAGAGAGAUGGUGAGAGAUGAGCACACAAAUAGAGAGAGGGGGGAGAGAGGGAGAGAUGGAGAGCCAGAGAGAGCCCAGAUGAGGGAGUUGAGAUGAUGGGCUGGCAGUUUCCAAGCACCAGGCUGUUUUUCAGGGCUGUCAAGCACAUUGUGAGGCAUUGUUUGAAAUGCCCAGGCUGAUGGCUGACAUAUUCCCCAUGAAUCUAGCAUGCCAGGCCGCCGUCCACUACACUGUACUCAGCCACACGCGCGCUGCCGUGCCACGUGUUAACCGUCCACGUGUGUGUGUGUGUGUGUGUGUGUGUGUGUGUGCUGGUCAGUGGGGGUAAUUGGCUGACCUUGGCCCAUCAGGGAGGCUGGGAUGAGAGAGAAAAGGUGGAGAAAACGGUGGAGGGGGGGGGCGGGUUGUAAAUUUUGUCUCACAUC
RNAcentral lists this long non-coding RNA (1082 nucleotides) under Betta splendens (Siamese fighting fish). RNAcentral describes it as "lncRNA (ENSBSLG00000019054.1)". Lineage: Eukaryota; Metazoa; Chordata; Actinopteri; Anabantiformes; Osphronemidae. The record is from RNAcentral.